This 433-nucleotide ribosomal RNA is filed under the name uncultured bacterium. Its description in RNAcentral is "partial 16S ribosomal RNA". It matches the Rfam family "Bacterial small subunit ribosomal RNA", at positions 29 to 507 of the family's 1533-position model. The record is from RNAcentral.
AGCGAACGCUGGCGGCAGGCUUAACACAUGCAAGUCGAGCGGGCACUUCGGUGUCAGCGGCAGACGGGUGAGUAACACGUGGGAACGUACCCUUCGGUUCGGAAUAACGCUGGGAAACUAGCGCUAAUACCGGAUACGCCCUUUUGGGGAAAGGUUUACUGCCGAAGGAUCGGCCCGCGUCUGAUUAGCUAGUUGGUGGGGUAAUGGCCUACCAAGGCGACGAUCAGUAGCUGGUCUGAGAGGAUGAUCAGCCACACUGGGACUGAGACACGGCCCAGACUCCUACGGGAGGAAGCAGUGGGGAAUAUUGGACAAUGGGCGCAAGGCUGAUCCAGCCAUGCCGCGUGAGUGAUGAAGGCCUUAGGGUUGUAAAGCUCUUUUGUCCGGGACGAUAAUGACGGUACCGGAAGAAUAAGCCCCGGCUAACUUCGUG